Molecule: small RNA, 719 nt
Filed under: Pongo abelii (Sumatran orangutan)
Lineage: Eukaryota; Metazoa; Chordata; Mammalia; Primates; Hominidae
Description: processed transcript
Source: RNAcentral
GGGGAAAUGGCGGCCUCAGGAGAGAGCGGGACUUCGGGCGGUGGAGGCAGCACCGAGGAAGCAUUUAUGACCUUCUACAGUGAGGUGAAACAAAUAGAGAAGAGAGACUCGGUUCUAACUUCGAAAAAUCAGAUUGAAAGACUGACUCGUCCUGGUUCCUCUUACUUCAAUUUGAACCCAUUUGAGGUUCUUCAGAUAGAUCCUGAAGUUACAGAUGAAGAAAUAAAAAAGAGGUUUCGGCAGUUAUCCAUCUUGGUGCAUCCUGACAAAAAUCAAGAUGAUGCUGACAGAGCACAAAAGGCUUUUGAAGGUAUUUGUAAAUUUACCUGCUUCUGAGUAUUAGAUUGUGAAUGGCAGAGCCUAACUGUUCCUUGUCCUAGAUCAAGCAAAGACUGUUAUAGUUUUGUCUUCUGGUCACCAAGAAGCUGUGGUUUUCAGUAGAGCAGUUGCCAUUUCAAAGCAGAAUGUUGUUGUUUAAGAAGUAGACCUUAACUUUGCUUUGUUAAAACUUUUAUAUGCCAACAAAGACUGUUAUUGCAUAGGAUCAUUUUUUUUCUUUGAACAUAAAGAAUUUUAUCACUGAAUUAAAUCCAGAUGUGGUGUAUUUAGCCUUGAGUAUAUAUUUAAUUUUUUCCAAGGCUCUCAAGGAAAGUCAUUGCUAUAGUUGAAUGUUUUUUAACUUAGUUUAACGACAGUAAAUAAUUAAAGUAGGGAAUGCU